CAGGGCUUCUUUUGGGCCAAACGAUGAGCUCUUUGUCGCUACUUCGUCUCCGCCCUUAUCGGCAUCCCGACGCCCACGGAACCCUAAUUGCCGGCCAUGGACGGAGUUCGCUACCUCCAAGGCGGCAGACGCGGCAGGGAAUUGUGGCCGCCAUACCCACCGGAAUCGUCAUGAGAGAUCGGGCCAAGAACCGAAAGCCCACCCAGAGGGGCCGCUACCUCAGCACCGAGGCCAUCCAGGCAGUCCAGGCCCUGAAGCGGGCCCUUGGGACCGUCGGAGGCGGCGGCGGCGGGGACUCUCUGGAGCGCGUUCUCGCUGCAAAGGUCCGGCGGUUGAUCAAGGGCGACAUGGUCGCCGUCCUCCGCGAGCUCCAGAGCCAGGGUGAAGGCCUCUUGGCGCUUCAGGUUUUUGAGGAGGUUCGAAGGGAGCACUGGUAUAAGCCUCAAUUAUCAGUGUACAAUGAUAUGAUCAAAGUGCUGGCAUCCUGUGGUUUGCCUGAAAAAGUGGAGAAGGUAUGCUCAUAUCUAAAGAUGGAGCAUUUGGAUGCUGAUACUGAAGGUUUUAAUUUGGUCUUGAGGACAUUAUUGGAUUUUGGUUUUGUACAAGCUACCAUGGACUGCUUUCGGCUAAUGAAGCUAUGGGAAAGUGAGCCUGACGAGUCAACAUAUGCAAUAUUAAUCAAUGGCCUUAAAGCUGAGGGAGAAGUAGAUCUUUCAAUUUCGGUAAGAGAGGAAGCAGAGCAACAUCUUGGUGGGCCUUUGGUAUUCUUAGAGAAGAUGGAAGAUGAGAUGGAAUUGACUGGCUAUGGCAACGUUCAUUCUGAACCCUGAGCUGAACACUUUCAAAGGAAUAUAUGUCAAAACAAUGUCCUUAUGACACAUCAUCAGGAAUUGUCACUGACCAAGGAGAGUUGCAUUGCAGCGUGUAGUCAUUUCCGUCUUACGAGAUAUUACAAUGGAGAAUCACCACCAUAAUUUCUUGCUUCCCUUUCUUGUAAGGUUAAUCACUCUGCUCUCCUUUCACAUAACUAUCAUGAAAGUGGAGAGAAGGCCAGACCCCAGCACCUGAUAUCGUCGCUAAAGCUUAACACAUGUUUUUCUUUUUCUGCCAGAAUUUCCAGUACCUUAGUAAUGGCUUCUCUCCUUUUUAUCGUUUCUGCUCAUCUCAACCUUCUCUCUCGUAUGCAUAUUGUAUAACUUGAUGAUUUGAUCAUACUCAGGAAGUAGAGAAAGCUCGUGUAUCUUUGUUAUCUGCA
This is an RNA transcript of Musa acuminata AAA Group (dessert banana), 1255 nucleotides long. It is a transcript of the gene named protein THYLAKOID ASSEMBLY 8, chloroplastic, with no coding region annotated. The transcript is spliced from 3 exons. The record is from RefSeq and is a predicted model, not a curated record. Lineage: Eukaryota; Viridiplantae; Streptophyta; Magnoliopsida; Zingiberales; Musaceae.